Long non-coding RNA from Micropterus salmoides (largemouth bass), 632 nucleotides. RefSeq lists it as uncharacterized. The transcript has 5 exons. The record is from RefSeq and is a predicted model, not a curated record. NCBI's taxonomy places the organism in Eukaryota, Metazoa, Chordata, Actinopteri, Centrarchiformes, Centrarchidae.
AAUUAUUACUGUGAAGCCCAGAACAGAAGAGGACGUCAUAACUCCACCUUACAUCUGAUUGUUGUGGCAGGUUCAUUGAAAUUUCCAGUUGUUCUAUCAGUCAGUGCUGUUGUUCUGGUCUUCAUACUUCUUCUCUCUGUCUUCAUAUGGAUUAGAAAGAGCUCCUUGCAAAAACAACCUGAGGCUGAUGAGACACCACACAACAGAGCAGAGCAGACAGAUGAAACUCAGGAUGCAACCAUACGAUUCGUAAGAAACCAGGCAGAGGCUCUCUACUCCAACAACAGCCCAGCUCAGCCCCUCAGAAACGAGGAGGAGGUUGUUUACGCGGCCCCCAACUUCAACAGUGCCGCAGGAACAAGGCCUCAAGCAGCUGUGGAGGAUGUAUCUGCCCUGUACAGCAGAGUUAGUAGACGACACUGAGUGUGGUGACAACAUGGAUCUGUGGUCUGUAUUUAUGCAUGGACUUUCUAUGCCUUUUCUUAGCAGGUGGCCCCAUUUGAUUUUUCCUCAGGACAGACUGGGCCAAGAAUGCAGAAUCAAGGCAGCAAUAAUCAUUUAUACAUCGAUUAUAUUAAUGAAGGACAGAUAGAUUAAAUAUUAGACACUUCUCUGAUGGACAUUUAAACCUU